GGGUUGUGAGGUUAAGCGACCAAGCGUACACGGUGGAUGCCCUGGCAGUCAGAGGCGAUGAAGGACGUGCUAAUCUGCGAAAAGCGCCGGUAAGGUGAUAUGAACCGUUAUAACCGGCGAUGUCCGAAUGGGGAAACCCAGUGUGACUCGUCACACUAUCAUUAACUGAAUCCAUAGGUUAAUGAGGCGAACCGGGGGAACUGAAACAUCUAAGUACCCCGAGGAAAAGAAAUCAACCGAGAUUCCCCCAGUAGCGGCGAGCGAACGGGGAGGAGCCCAGAGCCUGAAUCAGCAUGUGUGUUAGUGGAAGCGUCUGGAAAGGCGCGCGAUACAGGGUGACAGCCCCGUACACAAAAGCGCAUAUGCUGUGAGCUCGAUGAGUAGGGCGGGACACGUGGUAUCCUGUCUGAAUAUGGGGGGACCAUCCUCCAAGGCUAAAUACUCCUGACUGACCGAUAGUGAACCAGUACCGUGAGGGAAAGGCGAAAAGAACCCCGGCGAGGGGAGUGAAACAGAACCUGAAACCGUGUACGUACAAGCAGUGGGAGCC
This 550-nucleotide ribosomal RNA is filed under the name Salmonella enterica subsp. arizonae serovar 50:r:z. Its description in RNAcentral is "bacterial LSU rRNA". It matches the Rfam family "Bacterial large subunit ribosomal RNA", at positions 1 to 581 of the family's 2925-position model. The record is from RNAcentral. Lineage: Bacteria; Pseudomonadati; Pseudomonadota; Gammaproteobacteria; Enterobacterales; Enterobacteriaceae. RNAcentral also lists the same sequence under 1 other name.